Molecule: transfer RNA, 74 nt
Filed under: Planctomycetaceae bacterium
Lineage: Bacteria; Pseudomonadati; Planctomycetota; Planctomycetia; Planctomycetales; Planctomycetaceae
Also listed under: 1 other name
Description: tRNA-Pro
Rfam family: tRNA
About the family: Transfer RNA (tRNA) molecules are approximately 80 nucleotides in length. Their secondary structure includes four short double-helical elements and three loops (D, anti-codon, and T loops).
Source: RNAcentral
CUGUGCGUAGGGAAGUUGGCCAUCCCGCGACGCUUGGGACGUCGAGAUCGCUGGUUCGAAUCCAGCCGCGCAGA